Molecule: ribosomal RNA, 614 nt
Filed under: uncultured bacterium
Lineage: Bacteria
Description: bacterial SSU rRNA
Rfam family: Bacterial small subunit ribosomal RNA (bases 1-535)
Source: RNAcentral
CCUACGGGAGGCAGCAGUAGGGAAUAUUGGGCAAUGGACGCAAGUCUGACCCAGCCAUGCCGCGUGCAGGAAGAAGGCGUUAUGCGUUGUAAACUGCUUUUAUACAGGAAGAAACGACUCUUGCGAGAGGCAUUGACGGUACUGUAUGAAUAAGCACCGGCUAACUCCGUGCCGGCAGCCGCGGUAAUACGGAGGGUGCAAGCGUUGUCCGGAUUUAUUGGGUUUAAAGGGUGCGCAGGUGGUUUAUUAAGUCAGUGGUGAAAGACGGUCGCUCAACGAUUGCAGUGCCAUUGAAACUGGUAGACUUGAGUAAAGUAGAGGUGGGCGGAAUUGAUAGUGUAGCGGUGAAAUGCAUAGAUAUUAUCAAGAACUCCAAUUGCGAAGGCAGCUCACUUGGCUUUUACUGACACUCGUGCACGAAAGUGUGGGUAUCAAACAGGAUUAGAUACCCUGGUAGUCCACACUGUAAACGAUGAUAACUAGGUGUCGGCCGAAUCUGGUCGGUGCCGACAGACGAAGACGUAAGUUAGUCACCGUGGUAGGUACGCGCGACGUUAGAACGUACGAAGAAGUUAGAGGCGNGAGAGNGCGACGGACGACGACGAGGGAGGAGG